Molecule: ribosomal RNA, 806 nt
Filed under: uncultured bacterium
Lineage: Bacteria
Description: bacterial SSU rRNA
Rfam family: Bacterial small subunit ribosomal RNA
Source: RNAcentral
AGAGUUUGAUCAUGGCUCAGAACGAACGUUAGCGGCGCGCCUAACACAUGCAAGUCGAACGCGACUGGGGGCAACUCCAGUUGAGUGGCGCACGGGUGAGUAACACGUAGGUAAUCUCCCCCCGAGUGGUGGAUAACCCUCCGAAAGGAGAGCUAAUACAGCAUGAGACCACGGCUUCGAAAGGAGCUGAGGUCAAAGCGGAGGAUCGCAAGACUUCGCGCUUGGGGAUGAGCCUGCGGCCCAUCAUGGUAGUUGGCGGGGUAAUGGCCCACCAAGCCUUAGACGGGUAGCUGGUCUGAGAGGAUGAUCAGCCACACUGGAACUGAGACACGGUCCAGACUCCUACGGGAGGCAGCAGUGGGGAAUCUUGCGCAAUGGACGAAAGUCUGACGCAGCGACGCCGCGUGGGUGAUGAAGGCCUUCGGGUUGUAAAGCCCUGUAGGGAGGGACGAAUAAGUUUCAGCUAAUACCUGAAGCGAUGACGGUACCUCCUUAGCAAGCACCGGCUAACUCUGUGCCAGCAGCCGCGGUAAGACAGAGGGUGCAAACGUUGUUCGGAAUUACUGGGCGUAAAGCGCGUGUAGGCGGCUAUGCAAGUCGGAUGUGAAAGCCCUCGGCUCAACCGGGGAAGUGCACCCGAAACUGCAAAGCUAGAGUCUCGGAGAGGAUCGUGGAAUUCUCGGUGUAGAGGUGAAAUUCGUAGAUAUCGAGAGGAACACCGGUGGCGAAGGCGGCGAUCUGGACGAUGACUGACGCUGAGACGCGAAAGCGUGGGGAGCAAACAGGAUUAGAUACCCUAGUAGUCC